Molecule: long non-coding RNA, 582 nt
Organism: Salvia splendens (bonfire salvia)
Lineage: Eukaryota; Viridiplantae; Streptophyta; Magnoliopsida; Lamiales; Lamiaceae
Exons: 3
Source: RefSeq, a predicted model, not a curated record
GCAAUUAAUCCCAAAUUGAUUAAGCAAUCAAAUACAAAAAAUUCUCCCCUCCCACGUCCCAGCAAUUACGUCUCAGCAAUUACUCCCUCUUCACCCAUUCCUGCAAAUCUUUCCUAAUUUUGGACGCAAUCAAAGUGAAAUCAAGCACCAAAAAUUGCUCUCAGUACACAGAUAUAUAAAUCUUCCUACCCUAAUCUCCUUCCCUCACACAAAUUCGCAGCCACUCACUUCUCACUGUUGAAUCGCAAAGCGGCGGAGGGAGCAGUAGGAAGAAACUUUAUUUUUCCUCACCGAAUCCUAAUUCCAUCACGGUAACCACUCUCUCAUCCUCCUUUCAUGUUCUUCCUCAUAAAAUGAAAUAUCGUUUACCCCAAAGCCUUCUGACAGAAACUAGGAUCGAUUCGAGAGGGGGACAAGCCAGAAACUGCAAUCUUUUGUUUCAAUCCAAUCUGUUCUUUUGAAGGUGAAUCCUCGCAAGCGAAACGUGAUACCAAGGGGAAGAAAAUACUUGUGAUCUAAGCAGUCGAGGUUGAGCGGCGACGAGCGGUUGGCGGUGUUGAGCAAAUUAAAUGAAGAAUUAAA